This 372-nucleotide ribosomal RNA is filed under the name uncultured bacterium. RNAcentral's name for it is "bacterial SSU rRNA". It matches the Rfam family "Bacterial small subunit ribosomal RNA", at positions 30 to 407 of the family's 1533-position model. The record is from RNAcentral.
AUUGAACGCUGGCGGCAUGCCUUACACAUGCAAGUCGAACGGCAGCACGGGGCAACCUGGUGGCGAGUGGCGAACGGGUGAGUAAUGCAUCGGAACGUGCCAUUGAGUGGGGGAUAACGUAGCGAAAGUUGCGCUAAUACCGCAUAUUCUGUGAGCAGGAAAGCAGGGGACCGCAUGGCCUUGCGCUCUUGAGCGGCCGAUGUCAGAUUAGCUAGUUGGUGAGGUAACGGCUUACCAAGGCGACGAUCUGUAGCGGGUCUGAGAGGAUGAUCCGCCACACUGGAACUGAGACACGGUCCAGACUCCUACGGGAGGCAGCAGUGGGAAUUUGGACAAUGGGCGCAAGCCUGAUCCAGCCAUGCCGCGUGAGUG